This 559-nucleotide ribosomal RNA is filed under the name uncultured bacterium. Its description in RNAcentral is "bacterial SSU rRNA". It matches the Rfam family "Bacterial small subunit ribosomal RNA", at positions 91 to 645 of the family's 1533-position model. The record is from RNAcentral.
GAGAGCGGCGGACGGGUGAGUAAUGCCUAGGAAUCUGCCUGGUAGUGGGGGAUAACGUCCGGAAACGGACGCUAAUACCGCAUACGUCCUACGGGAGAAAGCAGGGGACCUUCGGGCCUUGCGCUAUCAGAUGAGCCUAGGUCGGAUUAGCUAGUUGGUGGGGUAAUGGCUCACCAAGGCGACGAUCCGUAACUGGUCUGAGAGGAUGAUCAGUCACACUGGAACUGAGACACGGUCCAGACUCCUACGGGAGGCACCAGUGGGGAAUAUUGGACAAUGGGCGAAAGCCUGAUCCAGCCAUGCCGCGUGUGUGAAGAAGGUCUUCGGAUUGUAAAGCACUUUAAGUUGGGAGGAAGGGCAGUAAAUUAAUACUUUGCUGUUUUGACGUUAUCGACAGAAUAAGCCCGGGCUAACUCUGUGCCAGCAGCCGCGGUAAUACAGAGGGUGCAAGCGUUAAUCGGAAUUACUGGGCGUAAAAGCGCGCGUAGGUGGUUCGUUAAGUUGGAUGUGAAAUCCCCGGGCUCAACCUGGGAACUGCAUUCUAAACUGACGAGCUAGA